UUGGGAUGGUCUUGAUUACUGCAGUGU
Molecule: non-coding RNA, 27 nt
Filed under: Rattus norvegicus (Norway rat)
Lineage: Eukaryota; Metazoa; Chordata; Mammalia; Rodentia; Muridae
Source: RNAcentral